UUGCUAGGUUAGUAUGUAGAAAAGGGGGAAGAUGACAUGUUAUGAAUAAAUGAGGGGUUGAAAAUGAAAAAUGUGUUAUUAAAACACAUAACAAAAAAAUGCCCAGGGAAUGGAAGUGGGUGUGUGUGCGAUCGUGAGGAGAGACCAGGGGAAACCUUCCCCUCAAAACCCUAACACCUCUCAAAUCAUCAAAUUAAGAAGAAAAUUGAAGGUCAAUCGAAUGCAUGUGAUCAAUUCCUUAGUCAUCUAAGGGUUUCCCAUCAUGGGGAGCGUGAUCUUGAUGAAAAGAUAGUAUAGGAAUCAUGUCAAGACGGACUCAAGCAUAAAAGGAUAACGGGUCAAGAAAAGGCGAGGAAUCGGAUACGAGCACGGACGCAUAAGGUAAGUGAUUUCCGUAAUCACUUCUUAAUUCAAGUAAGUAAUUAAGUGUUGUGAUUAAUUAAACAUGAUGUUUGAGGUCAAAUAUGUGUUAAAGUCUUUCGUCGUAAACGAUGGAUUAAAGUUGACCAAAAUGCCCUCGAUGGGUAUUUUGGGGUAAACGAUCUUAAAAAUAGUUUAGAAACAAGUUAUUCGAUUAGUGUAAUGUUUUGGACAAGUAUGGAUGUGGGGAUGAUGGUUUGGUUAGUCAUAGACCAAUUAAUACGCGAAUACCCUUAACGGGUCAAAAUAAGUAUAUGAACGAUAAUGUGUUAAGAGGAUGUAAGACAUCCAAGAAUUUGGUAAUUUAUGAUAGACGUCACUGAUAUUAUUAUGUUUAUAAGAGGUUAUGGUAAAACAAACAGAUUAUGUUGAUUAUAGCACGAACGGGUCAAAUAAUUAGAAGAUAAUAAUAAUCCGAAUGCAGGUAAGUUAAGAAUUUCCUUAAUCCAUAUGUGGGAUUUUAAGUUCAUAUGAUAGAAUGUGAAUUUACAAGCAUGUAGGAAGAAACGUGAGGUUAAACGGACAAUCGGGUUAAAAGUUAUGCGAGUUUUUGUGGGCGUGUUGUAUCUGCACCCGGAGUAUGGAACGCCGGGUUUGGGAGUAUGGAACGCCGGGCAGAGACCUAAACGCCCAUACUUCACUGUCAAACGCUGGUUCCAUGUUAAAGUGAACGUCGGGGUGUUCCAAACAAGCCUAGAUCACUAUAAAGCUAAGUCUAAGACCCAUGUAAAUAAUGUAUGAUUAUGUAAGAGGUACACGCGAUCUAGUACGUGUUCGUUAAGGUAUGUACGAGUGUAUGCAUGUAUGUAAAGAUGUAGGAAAGGUAUGUACGUAUGUAGAUGUGUAUGUAUGUAUGUAUAAAGGUAUGUACGAGUGUAUGCAUGUAUGUAAAGAUGUAGGAAAGGUAUGUAUGUAUGUAUGUAUGUAUGUAUGUAAUUGUGUAAAUGCCCCGUACUGCGCUUUGAUGACUUAAAAGUGCAGAAAUUGGUAUAAACGGGUCAAAACAGCAAAGUAGGAAAGAUAUGCAGAAGCUACCGUAAAUUACGGUACCACCGUAAUUUACGGUGGAGGGUAAAUCUUUACGGUGGUUCUUUACUGAUUUACGGUAGAACCAUAAACGUCCAGCGCCCAUCGUAAAUUACGGUGACCACCGUAAUUUACGGUGGAGCCCAGCCAAAAUUGCCAAGUUUUGUAUAAUUUCAUAUUUUGAAUCCGUUUUAAGCGUAUACUUAAUUAUGUGAAAAUUGAAGGAUUCUAACAUUAUUAUCUUGUUAAAUUUGUAUGUAUGUAGAUGUGAAUGUAUGUUUGUAUGUAAGUACGUAUGUAAGCAUGAUUUAGACACGUUGAGUGUUAACGUUUUAAUGGUGUACCUUGAGAAUGAAAAGUAAUGCAGGUACAUUACUGAAGCCUCACCAGGAAAUGGAUACGCAGAUGAAAUGCUUAAAGUUUGAAAAAUGACGAAUAGUGAAGUGUACGUGAAUGAAUCUUGUUUAUAUAAUGUGUGCUAAUGUAUGAAUGAAUGUGGUGAGUGCAGGUUGUACGAAUCACGGAUUAACCUCACAAGGAGUAGCGAUCGAAGACCGAGUCACAAGAUAGAUUGUACGGGAAUGUUUACAUAUGUAAUUUAGUGAUGAUAAGUUAUGUUUUUAUAUUUUAAAGUGGACUUUCAAGUAAGACAAAACGUUUAUAAUGAAUGAAAUUUUAGGGUACGUAUUUCCGCUGCGACUUAUGGUCAAAUGUGAUUUAGGGUCUUACAAGUUGGUAUCAGAGCCCUGGUUUGAGCAAAUCAAGUAUGAGAAGAUAAAUACUUGAACUCAAACCUGUGUGCUCUUGUGAUAAGGAACCCGUACAAUCCACGACUCGAUCAAGAUCUAAAGGUAAGCAUAAGUGUCUGAAGAGGAUGGUUCGUGAAUGCAGGAUAGGAUGAAUACUAAGGCUGGCAAAGGUGUAAAUAAGCUAAUGAACCCCAGGUACACACUAUUAAUAUGUAUGGGUAUCAAUGUUGAAAGAAAAAGGAAGAAAUCUCCUUGGGAAGGUAAUUAUUAAACGAAAGGUAAUGAUGUGGUCUUGGGGAAAUUUUAGAAAUGUGCACGAAACUGAAACCCAUUUCUCGGACAUAAGGCGAUGAUUACACGAAGGCACGAAACUAGUAUGCAGAUUGUGCACCUGGCCAGUAUGCAAUAAGCAUAUGACGUUCGUGAGACCGUGGUAAUUAUCACAGGUGUGUCCGGUAGAACUGGGUAACAGGUGGGCGUGCGGUGAAAUGGGUAGUAAGACUCUCGGGAAAUUGAGAGUACUACGUAAGAGUGAAAAGUAUGAGUGAUAAGAAUGAAGAAUGUUGAAUCCGUAAGACAGUACGGAUCAGCAAUGUAUGAAUGAAAUGUUUGAAUCCGCGAGACGGAUUCAAAGAAUGAAAGAUGCGAAUGCAAUGUUUGAAUACGCAAGAUGGAUUCAAAACAUAGAAGGUACGAAAGGUAUGAAUAAUGUAUUCGAAUCCGCAAAACAGAUUUAAGGUAUAAAAGACGAAACUAGUCUACAUAAGAAGUGUCGAUAGUCUGACCGUGAUUUUGUCAAAUGAGUCAUAUGGGUAAAUGUAAAGUAAGGAAACAAAAGAAUGAUCGUAAUGAGCAUGCAGACCUAAGUUAUAAAACGAAAGAAGGAAGUUUUGAACAAGUUAUGUGUUAAAUGUGUUAGAAAUCGACUCUUAGAAGUCAGAAUGAAUGACGGGCUAUGACCCAGACAAUGGUUUAAGUAUGAACAAAAAGGGUAAGUUUGUUAAGAAUACUAAAACGAUGUAAUGAAUGUCUUUGUAAGUAAGCAUGAGUGGAAGGAAGCACGAAUGUGUACUUCAAUGCAUCUAUGAUAAGUGAGAAAAUUCAGUUUAACCUUAAAAGGUUAAACUGCAAAGGUUGACGAAAUAAGUAACUAAAAUGAAAGAAUUGCGUGUAAGAAAUGGAAUGUAAGAUAUGUUAUAGCAUGUACGCAGGAAAUAUGUAACAGAAUUAUAGGUGACUAAUCACCUAGUAGACUCAGUAUUUGAAUGAGAUAUGCUAACCGCCAAUUUUGUAGGUGGUGAUGUUAGAAUUCGUAGUGUGAUGAAACCAAUUGAAUUAGUGGAAGGAUGUGCACGAGCGGAAGCACGCUACGCGGAUGAAGGAAAUCUGGCCGGGUAUGGCUAGUACUCGUGAAAAGACGGAUAGAUCUGGUUUACGGACCAUUGAAAUUAUGCAACGAAAUCGAGGUUAGUAAAAUGUGUAAUUCAUGUUGGACAGGUAUGAAUUGGUAGGUUGAGAAAGACCUACGAAAUGACUGAUAGGAUAUGUAUGGUAUGGAAUGUUUAAUUUUUAACCAUUGGCAUAAGAAGAAAGUAUGUUACUAAAAAGUAAAUUUCAAAAGUUUGAGAAAUUUUGAGUAUUUAUUAAACUUUCGUAUAAUAAAUUUGCACGACAUAUUUGCUUAGGUAGAUUAAGUAAUGCAGGAAGUGAAAGUAAUAGUAAUAUGAAAUGCAUGAAACGAUUGAAGGCAACAUAAAGGUAUGCAAAGUACAAGUAACUAUGGAAAACGUAGAAUGAUGUUAACAUGAGAACUAGGCACGUAAUUUGACUAUGAAAUAGUAGUUUUGUUGUGAUAACAAAACAAUAGUAAAUAUUAUACAGUGCAUGUAGAGAAUGUAAUUUUAAGAAAUAAGGUGAAGGUAUUAGAUCCGUUACGAACGGAUCAUAUGAAUGUAUGUAUGACUACAAGUUGAAGUAGUAUGUAUAUUGACCCGUUAUUAAUAGGCCAAGGAAUUGAGAAUGUGUGUAAAGAUAAAGUAUGUAAGGUAUGGACUUGUUAGAAAGAAGUCAAUUGUAUGAAUAGUCAUGAAGCGGGAAUAGGUAGUUACUUAGUCUUACGAUGUAUCCAUCAAAGUUAAACAUAGAGGUGUCUGUAUGAAUUACGAAGUAAGAGCGUAACCUCGAUAAGAAUAAUAUGAAUAUUGGAAAUGAAUAAAAAGGAAUGUUAUUAAUAGGAUGUUGAAAUUGUUUUAAGUAAACAAAAUGGUAUAUUAUACGUGACAUAUAGUAUUGGAAUGAUGAAUAAACCGCUGGCUAAGAAGCGCGAUGGAAACUAGCAAUAUUUAGUGGAAGUGACACUAAUAAGAACUCUGGUGCGAGUUCUUGAAGCUAGAAGGUCGUCAUUAGAUGGGCUCGUGGUCUUGGCGAUGGGCCGGAAAAGAAAAGAUAAUUAAUGUUAGAUGAAAGUGAGAAAGGUUUCGGGGACGAAACCUUCUUUAAGGGGGGUAGACUUGUAACACCCCAAAUUUCGUAUGACAUAAUAUAAUGUUUUAAUCGCAGUAUUUGACGAAAAGAAAUGGUAAACAUAGAUUUUUACCAUUAGUAAAGUCUUAUAAAUUUUAGUAAAUCUAAAAUUCUUAGGUAUGCAUGAAGGUUUGCUAGGUUAGUAUGUAGAAAAGGGGGAAGAUGACAUGUUAUGAAUAAAUGAGGGGUUGAAAAUGAAAAAUGUGUUAUUAAAACACAUAACAAAAAAAUGCCCAGGGAAUGGAAGUGGGUGUGUGUGCGAUCGUGAGGAGAGACCAGGGGAAACCUUCCCCUCAAAACCCUAACACCUCUCAAAUCAUCAAAUUAAGAAGAAAAUUGAAGGUCAAUCGAAUGCAUGUGAUCAAUUCCUUAGUCAUCUAAGGGUUUCCCAUCAUGGGGAGCGUGAUCUUGAUGAAAAGAUAGUAUAGGAAUCAUGUCAAGACGGACUCAAGCAUAAAAGGAUAACGGGUCAAGAAAAGGCGAGGAAUCGGAUACGAGCACGGACGCAUAAGGUAAGUGAUUUCCGUAAUCACUUCUUAAUUCAAGUAAGUAAUUAAGUGUUGUGAUUAAUUAAACAUGAUGUUUGAGGUCAAAUAUGUGUUAAAGUCUUUCGUCGUAAACGAUGGAUUAAAGUUGACCAAAAUGCCCUCGAUGGGUAUUUUGGGGUAAACGAUCUUAAAAAUAGUUUAGAAACAACUUAUUCGAUGAGUGUAAUGUUUUGGACAAGUAUGGAUGUGGGGAUGAUGGUUUGGUUAGUCAUAGACCAAUUAAUACGCGAAUACCCUUAACGGGUCAAAAUAAGUAUAUGAACGAUAAUGUGUUAAGAGGAUGUAAGACAUCCAAGAAUUUGGUAAUUUAUGAUAGACGUCACUGAUAUUAUUAUGUUUAUAAGAGGUUAUGGUAAAACAAACAGAUUAUGUUGAUUAAUGCACGAACGGGUCAAAUAAUUAGAAGAUAAUAAUAAGCCGAAUGCAGGUAAGUUAAGAAUUUCCUUAAUCCAUAUGUGGGAUUUUAAGUUCAUAUGAUAGAAUGUGAAUUUACAAGCAUGUAGGAAGAAACGUGAGGUUAAACGGACAAUCGGGUUAAAAGUUAUGCGAGUUUUAGUGGGCGUGUUGUAUCUGCACCCGGAGUAUGGAACGCCGGGUUUGGGAGUAUGGAACGCCGGGCAGAAACCUAAACGCCCAUACUUCACUGUCAAACGCUGGUUCCAUGUUAAAGUGAACGUCGGGGUGUUCCAAACAAGCCUAGAUCACUAUAAAGCUAAGUCUAAGACCCAUGUAAAUAAUGUAUGAUUAUGUAAGAGGUACGCGCGAUCUAGUACGUGUUCGUUAAGGUAUGUACGAGUGUAUGCAUGUAUGUAAAGAUGUAGGAAAGGUAUGUACGUAUGUAGAUGUGUAUGUAUGUAUGUAUAAAGGUAUGUACGAGUGUAUGCAUGUAUGUAAAGAUGUAGGAAAGGUAUGUAUGUAUGUAUGUAUGUAUGUAUGUAAUUGUGUAAAUGCCCCGUACUGCGCUUUGAUGACUUAAAAGUGCAGAAAUUGGUAUAAACGGGUCAAAACAGCAAAGUAGGAAAGAUAUGCAGAAGCUACCGUAAAUUACGGUACCACCGUAAUUUACGGUGGAGGGUAAAUCUUUACGGUGGUUCUUUACUGAUUUACGGUAGAACCAUAAACGUCCAGCGCCCACCGUAAAUUACGGUGACCACCGUAAUUUACGGUGGAGCCCAGCCAAAAUUGCCAAGUUUUGUAUAAUUUCAUAUUUUGAAUCCGUUUUAAGCGUAUACUUAAUUAUGUGAAAAUUGAAGGAUUCUAACAUUAUUAUCUUGUUAAAUUUGUAUGUAUGUAGAUGUGAAUGUAUGUUUGUAUGUAAGUACGUAUGUAAGCAUGAUUUAGACACGUUGAGUGUUAACGUUUUAAUGGUGUACCUUGAGAAUGAAAAGUAAUGCAGGUACAUUACUGAAGCCUCACCAGGAAAUGGAUACGCAGAUGAAAUGCUUAAAGUUUGAAAAAUGACGAAUAGUGAAGUGUACGUGAAUGAAUCUUGUUUAUAUAAUGUGUGCUAAUGUAUGAAUGAAUGUGGUGAGUGCAGGUUGUACGAAUCACGGAUUAACCUCACAAGGAGUAGCGAUUGAAGACCGAGUCACAAGAUAGAUUGUACGGGAAUGUUUACAUAUGUAAUUUAGUGAUGAUAAGUUAUGUUUUUAUAUUUUAAAGUGGACUUUCAAGUAAGACAAAACGUUUAUAAUGAAUGAAAUUUUAGGGUACGUAUUUCCGCUGCGA
Molecule: long non-coding RNA, 6994 nt
Organism: Helianthus annuus (common sunflower)
Lineage: Eukaryota; Viridiplantae; Streptophyta; Magnoliopsida; Asterales; Asteraceae
Exons: 3
Source: RefSeq, a predicted model, not a curated record